Molecule: ribosomal RNA, 1161 nt
Filed under: uncultured bacterium
Lineage: Bacteria
Description: bacterial SSU rRNA
Rfam family: Bacterial small subunit ribosomal RNA
Source: RNAcentral
UAUAAGAUGGGCAUGCGUGUGAUUAGAUAGUUGGUGAGGUAACGGCUCACCAAGUCAACGAUCAUUAGGGGUUCUGAGAGGAAGGUCCCCCACACUGGUACUGAGACACGGACCAGACUCCUACGGGAGGCAGCAGUGAGGAAUAUUGGUCAAUGGGCGAGAGCCUGAACCAGCCAAGUCGCGUGAAGGAAGAAGGUUCUAUGGAUUGUAAACUUCUUUUGCAGGGGAAUAAAGUGAGGUACGUGUACCUUAUUGUAUGUACCUUGCGAAUAAGGAUCGGCUAACUCCGUGCCAGCAGCCGCGGUAAUACGGAGGAUCCGAGCGUUAUCCGGAUUUAUUGGGUUUAAAGGGUGCGUAGGCGGGAAAUUAAGUCAGUGGUGAAAGUUUGCAGCUCAACUGUAAAAUUGCCAUUGAAACUGAUUUUCUUGAGUGUAAAUAAGGUAGGCGGAAUGUGUUGUGUAGCGGUGAAAUGCAUAGAUAUAACACAGAACACCAAUUGCGAAGGCAGCUUACCGGGCUACAACUGACGCUGAGGCACGAAAGCGUGGGGAUCAAACAGGAUUAGAUACCCUGGUAGUCCACGCCGUAAACGAUGAUAACUAGCUGUCGGCGAUACACAGUCGGUGGCCAAGCGAAAGCGAUAAGUUAUCCACCUGGGGAGUACGACCGCAAGGUUGAAACUCAAAGGAAUUGACGGGGGCCCGCACAAGCGGAGGAACAUGUGGUUUAAUUCGAUGAUACGCGAGGAACCUUACCCGGGCUCGAACGGUGCAGGAAUAUGGUAGAGAUGUCAUAGCUAGCAAUAGUCUGUAUCGAGGUGCUGCAUGGUUGUCGUCAGCUCGUGCCGUGAGGUGUCGGGUUAAGUCCCAUAACGAGCGCAACCCCUAUCGUUAGUUGCCAUCAGGUCAUGCUGGGGACUCUAGCGAGACUGCCACCGUAAGGUGUGAGGAAGGGGGGGAUGACGUCAAAUCAGCACGGCCCUUACGUCCAGGGCUACACACGUGCUACAAUGGCCGGUACAGAGGGCAGCCAUCCCGCGAGGGAGAGCAAAUCUCAAAAGCCGGUCUCAGUUCGGAUCGGAGUCUGAAACUCGACUCCGUGAAGUUGGAUUCGCUAGUAAUCGCGCAUCAGCCAUGGCGCGGUGAAUACGUUCCCGGGCCU